RNAcentral lists this ribosomal RNA (453 nucleotides) under uncultured Bifidobacterium sp. RNAcentral describes it as "bacterial SSU rRNA". It matches the Rfam family "Bacterial small subunit ribosomal RNA", at positions 173 to 640 of the family's 1533-position model. The record is from RNAcentral. Lineage: Bacteria; Bacillati; Actinomycetota; Actinomycetes; Bifidobacteriales; Bifidobacteriaceae.
CUCCAGUUGGAUGCAUGUCCUUCUGGGAAAGAUUCAUCGGUACGGGAUGGGGUCGCGUCCUAUCAGCUUGAUGGCGGGGUAACGGCCCACCAUGGCUUCGACGGGUAGCCGGCCUGAGAGGGCGACCGGCCACAUUGGGACUGAGAUACGGCCCAGACUCCUACGGGAGGCAGCAGUGGGGAAUAUUGCACAAUGGGCGCAAGCCUGAUGCAGCGACGCCGCGUGCGGGAUGACGGCCUUCGGGUUGUAAACCGCUUUUGACUGGGAGCAAGCCCUUCGGGGUGAGUGUACCUUUCGAAUAAGCACCGGCUAACUACGUGCCAGCAGCCGCGGUAAUACGUAGGGUGCAAGCGUUAUCCGGAAUUAUUGGGCGUAAAGGGCUCGUAGGCGGUUCGUCGCGUCCGGUGUGAAAGUCCAUCGCUUAACGGUGGAUCCGCGCCGGGUACGGGCGGG